UACAGAGGAGCCAAGCGUUGUCCGGAUUGACUGGGCGUAAAGCGCGUGUAGGCGGCUAUGUAAGUCGGGCGUGAAAUCCCACGGCUCAACCGUGGAAGUGCACCCGAAACUGCGUAGCUAGAGUCCUGGAGAGGAAGGUGGAAUGCUUGGUGUAGAGGUGAAAUUCGUAGAUAUCAAGCGGAACACCGGUGGCGAAGGCGGCCUUCUGGACAGUGACUGACGCUGAGACGCGAAAGCGUGGGGAGCAAACAGG
This 253-nucleotide ribosomal RNA is filed under the name uncultured bacterium. Its description in RNAcentral is "partial 16S ribosomal RNA". It matches the Rfam family "Bacterial small subunit ribosomal RNA", at positions 524 to 776 of the family's 1533-position model. The record is from RNAcentral.